Molecule: non-coding RNA, 72 nt
Organism: Phrynosoma platyrhinos (Desert horned lizard)
Lineage: Eukaryota; Metazoa; Chordata; Lepidosauria; Squamata; Phrynosomatidae
Source: the annotation of a GenBank genome assembly
UCUUAUGUGACACAGAGGUUUGAGCGUUGGACUAUAACUCUGGAGACCAGGGUUCGAAUCCCUGCUCAGCCA